GCUAGUGGCGCUAGAACAUCAAAUGCACCAGCUCCCACUGAAUCACUAAAGUUAAGCAACGUUGCGCGUGGUUGGUAUUCGGAUGGGCGACCUUGGGGGGAAAUCUCGUGCUUCUAGAU
RNAcentral lists this ribosomal RNA (119 nucleotides) under Diaphorina citri (Asian citrus psyllid). Lineage: Eukaryota; Metazoa; Arthropoda; Insecta; Hemiptera; Psyllidae. The record is from RNAcentral.